RNAcentral lists this ribosomal RNA (312 nucleotides) under Triticum aestivum (bread wheat). Its description in RNAcentral is "partial small subunit ribosomal RNA". Lineage: Eukaryota; Viridiplantae; Streptophyta; Magnoliopsida; Poales; Poaceae. The record is from RNAcentral.
AUGCAACUGAAAGAAACUGUAAGUCAUGUAGAGCUUACUCAAAACGAUUCUGCUCACGAGGACAUCGCAAGAGAUUUUCGAGCAGAGAUAAACAAGUUAAAAGAAGUGGAGGCAGCAAAAGCUACUGAAGCAGCACAAACCCUUCAGCAGAGCAUAGAUGAGCUGCAAGUGGUAGACAGAGAGAAGGAUGACGAGAUUGACAGAUUGAGAGCAGAAGCAGUUGAUGCAGAAAACAAGGAGACUAGUCCAAAGAAGAGUCAAAAGCGCAGGAGGAAUACCAGUGAGUUGCAGCUUGAACAGUGCACAGGCUGA